RNAcentral lists this ribosomal RNA (303 nucleotides) under uncultured bacterium. RNAcentral's name for it is "bacterial SSU rRNA". It matches the Rfam family "Bacterial small subunit ribosomal RNA", at positions 28 to 334 of the family's 1533-position model. The record is from RNAcentral.
GACGAACGCUGGCGGCGUGCCUAACACAUGCAAGUCGAACGGAGUUGCCCUUCGGGACAACUUAGUGGCGAACGGGUGAGUAACGCGUGAGGAACCUGCCUUUCAGUGGGGGACAACAGUUGGAAACGACUGCUAAUACCGCAUAAUGUAUUUUGGGGCAUCCCCUGGAUACCAAAGCUUUAUGUGCUGAAAGAUGGCCUCGCGUCUGAUUGGGUAGUUGGUGAGGUAACGGCUCACCAAGUCUGCGAUCAGUAGCCGGUCUGAGAGGAUGAACGGCCACAUUGGGACUGAGAUACGGCCCAG